RNAcentral lists this small RNA (61 nucleotides) under Xanthomonas vasicola. Its description in RNAcentral is "partial sX9 sRNA". It matches the Rfam family "Xanthomonas sRNA sX9", at positions 1 to 61 of the family's 76-position model. The record is from RNAcentral. Lineage: Bacteria; Pseudomonadati; Pseudomonadota; Gammaproteobacteria; Lysobacterales; Lysobacteraceae.
AUGUACCACUCGUACACUGCGGUUCCUGCGCGCCGUCCGCGCCCACCUGACGGCUGCUCGC